GAGACACCCUUAUGGGGCAGGACUUGCUUCAGGGGGACUUUGGUGCUCACUGAGUCUGCCCCUUGAGUGUGUUGCU
Molecule: microRNA precursor, 76 nt
Filed under: Myotis lucifugus (little brown bat)
Lineage: Eukaryota; Metazoa; Chordata; Mammalia; Chiroptera; Vespertilionidae
Description: mir-9229 microRNA precursor family
Rfam family: mir-9229 microRNA precursor family
Source: Rfam by way of RNAcentral